Molecule: ribosomal RNA, 232 nt
Filed under: uncultured bacterium
Lineage: Bacteria
Description: partial 16S ribosomal RNA
Rfam family: Bacterial small subunit ribosomal RNA
Source: RNAcentral
CGGACGGGUGAGUAAUGUCUGGGAAACUGCCCGAUGGAGGGGGAUAACUACUGGAAACGGUAGCUAAUACCGCAUAACGUCGCAAGACCAAAGAGGGGGACCUUCGGGCCUCUUGCCAUCGGAUGUGCCCAGAUGGGAUUAGCUAGUAGGUGGGGUAACGGCUCACCUAGGCGACAAUCCCUAGCUGGUCUGAGAGGAUGACCAGCCACACUGGAACUGAGACACGGUCCAG